CAUUUCAGGAAUCUGAUAGAGGAAAAAGAUGUUAUGGUAUGUUUAAUUGUAUAUCGUAGCUUGUGCCCUGGCCUAUUGCUGUGUAAACGCCUUUAAGCAGACAUAAGUAAGUAGGUUAGACUUGUUAUUGUAGAAUCCCGUUAUCUGAAGGCCACAGUGUAAGGAACGGCGGGUGAUAACAUAGAAAUGGCCUUCUAGCAAAACUGCAAGAUUAGUACAGUUGAAACAAGCUGAAGCAAGAAGUGCGGGAAUGCAUGCAGCAAACCUGAUUGGUCUGUAAGGAAAAACACCCCUUCUGUGUAUUUUGUGUACUCCUGUAUAAAACUUAUUGGUACCGAAGAAGAGGAUCUUUUGUCUGACAGGGAGACAUUAGAUCCUAUUUGUAUACGGGAAAAAUUGUGUGCUCCUGUAUACAAGUAGAAAUAAAAACCCAUUCUUUGUUUCUUAAGUUUACUUGUAUCAGAUUUUUUCUCUCCAGAUACAGACACAUAAUUCGCGGAUCUAACAAUUGGGGGCUCGUCCGGGAUCCCAACAUCUCAUCGCACCCUACAGUAAACCCGCCAGACCAGUAGUUGUAUACGUGAGUUGUCAGGGACAACCCGCCGCUGGGCGGACCUAGAUCGAGAAGGAUCGAAAGGCCGUAUAUAAGAAUUAUCUGGGAUAAUUUGCUCGAACACUCUACAGCCUCAAAUCGGUGAGGAUCCCCCUGAGAGAAAGUCGUCCUCGACGUACAAGUGGGGUGAGUGGUGGAGCCGGUCUGGGGGCAAACCGGGAGAGUGGACUAUCACCGAGACAUCGUUGGUCCCCUCGCUGCAACCGGGAGACUGGAUCCUGAUUAAAGACGUAAAAAGAAAGACCUGGCAUCACCCUAAAUGGAAGGGACCGUUUCAAGUCCUCCUGACUACUCCCACCACCGCUGUUAAAAUUGCAGAAAGAACUACUUGGAUACAUUUGACACAUUGUAAAAA
Long non-coding RNA from Callorhinchus milii (elephant shark), 968 nucleotides. RefSeq lists it as uncharacterized. The record is from RefSeq and is a predicted model, not a curated record. The transcript has 2 exons. NCBI's taxonomy places the organism in Eukaryota, Metazoa, Chordata, Chondrichthyes, Chimaeriformes, Callorhinchidae.